GGAGCAAAUAUUUUCUACGUUUAUUAAGAAAUAUAUUAUUCUCUAUUUCCAUACACAUGACUUGAACUUAAGCUCUGCACUAAAUUACAAACUGCUUUUAUCUUUAAAAACCACAAAUACAAAGUGUAGAGUAUUAAGGCUAUUAAUUACCAAAGCAUGUUUUACUGUGGCAGUACUAUAAUUGUAUCUAUUUUAUAUUCUUUGAAAUGCAGUAACAGUACAUUUUUAGAAGAUAGUUACUAAAAUAUCUACUGCUUUUCAUCAAAGAAAAAUAAUUUUUUAACCAUUUUUCUUCAUAAAACCAAAAGUUUACAUCCAGCACAAAAAAUAUAAAAUACAUAAUGCAUCUAUCUUAUUUAAAACAAUAAUCAAAUUCUACACACAGCAUUUACAGGAGAUUUACAGGCAGAUGACUUUAAUAAUACCAUUUUGAUUAGAAACAUUAACAAUCAGCUUCUUUAUCAAGUUGAGGGAUUCUGCACGUAAUGUAUGAACUAGGAAUGCAGAAUCUUACAUAAAAUAGUAGUAGGACCUGAAAAGAUGAUCAUUUAGCACCUUCCAUCUGUACAAGUCCUUUUUGAGUUAAGUUCUGCUGGAGGGCAAGAAUUGCCCCAUGUAACAAACACCGAACCACAUCUACAGGGAUUGCUCCUGAGGUUUGGGAGCAUGACAUGAGUGUUGCCUCAGUGCCCCAAGAAGCACACACCACACACAGGCAUGUGCACUUGGGCACCAUAAUCAAAGGCCAGAUUUCCCUUGGAUUUCAGUGGAUCUGCUCAAUUAACAACCUCACAAAUCAUCAGAGUAGAUGAUGGAGGGGUAUGGGGUGAAUAUCCACUAACAUUCAGAGUGAAGUUAUCCUCCUGAGUUUCCUCCCUGCCGUGUUUUAGCCACCAACUUGAGGACUGCCCUGAGCAGGUUUGUGUACAAAGUUAUUCCUCUUUCUCCUUGAACAAUCCCCCUGAAUAAUAAUGGAAGUGUGGUUAUCUGGCUACUGGCAUACAUCUUCCCACCCCCUCCACUCCUUCCCCCAUAUAAUAAGAAGCCAACGCAGCAUGAGAUUGAUUCAGUUGCUUUGCUCUCUGUACAAAAAGACUAUGAACUGCUGAAUUCACACUUAAUUUAGCUGGUGGAAAAAUGAGCAGAGCUGGUACCAAAGGAAUUCAGUAAUAAGCUUUGAAACUACUGUGCUGGAAGAAGAUCUGCUGCCCUUUGAGCAGAGCUGGAAUGUAGAACAAGAGAGGAUAAUUUUCACAACAUCUUUGCUGUGUCCUUGGCUUGUCAUAUGGAAAAGAAGGGCAGUAUUAAAAAUUAAGCAAACCUCAACUGAGGUCAGAAGCCCUGAGUCUGAAAGGUUGGACCUCUUUUUGCACUUAGGGAUGUUCAGUGCCCUUUAUAUUAGGACAGGAAAAAUAAACAUUCAGGUUUAAUUUUACACUAGACUAGAGUCCUUUUGGUAAUUUUGGAUUUCUGUGUCCUCACCAACAGAAAAUGGUAUGUGCACUGCCUCUUCUCCCACCACUGGCAUGAGCAUGUCAGGGUACUGUUAACUUUCCUCAACAAAUUGGCACAUUUUGCACAGCUGCUUAGCAACAGACACAUUCUAUAUCUAGAUGAAAAAUACUUUUAAAAAAGGUAUUGCAGAAAAGAUGUACCAAGGAGCCUCUCACCUACAGCAACACUGCAAAAAAGUAUCUCCUCC
This is a long non-coding RNA of Strigops habroptila (Kakapo), 1702 nucleotides long. The record is from Ensembl. Lineage: Eukaryota; Metazoa; Chordata; Aves; Psittaciformes; Psittacidae.